Long non-coding RNA from Stylophora pistillata, 931 nucleotides. Lineage: Eukaryota; Metazoa; Cnidaria; Anthozoa; Scleractinia; Pocilloporidae. The record is from RefSeq and is a predicted model, not a curated record.
GCAAAUUGCUGCGAAGACGUCCACAGCCGUUUUGACUUUCUUGUAAGAUUGAAUUUACAGUUAAUUUUUGAUCCUGUUUAUCGGUUUUGAUGACCACAUCGAAAGCUCACUGACAUGGAAGCAAAUCAACAAACACAGAGUCAAGGAGCCACCAAACAAGCCAUGAUUUAUAUCUGCGGAGAGUGUCACACAGAAAAUGAGAUCAAAUCAAGGGACCCUAUUCGUUGUCGGGAAUGUGGAUACAGGAUCAUGUACAAGAAAAGGACAAAGAGAAUGGUGGUUUUUGAUGCAAGAUGACAUGGUUUCAACAUCCUUACAAGAAAAAUCUGCCUAACCAGAUAUUUUCAGUGGAGUUGCAGUUCCCUCUGCUUAGUGACACACGUGGAAAUGAAUAUAAUUCUAUUCACAUUUUCCCAGUCUCAUUUCUGCAUUUAUCUUGCUGUACAAUACUCUUUUAUUAGGAAAAUAACGCUCUGUCAUUAAAGUUUUUUCCUUUUUUUUUAAACAUAUCCAUGUUCUUUUCUUGUAAUGAUCACUAAUAUUAAAAAAAAUUCUAUAGAAUUCACCUGCUAUCAGAGAAACUUGGGCCUAACAAGUCAUUUGCUUAGAUUGUGAUUGUCCCAAUUUCUAACAUCACAGAAGCGGUUACUAAAGAUGAUAAAAUUGUGCUGUCAUCAAUGGAAAAGAGAAAAAGUGUUUGUCGUUUUUUGCAGUGAGCAUGAGACAAAAAAGAAUGUAUUGUUUUUAAGUGGAGAAAAAUGUAAUAAAAUAAGAACGUAAUUGAAGAAAUAACAUCCGUGCAGCUGAAAAAAAAGACAAACAAAAAAAAAAAACAACAACUAGGUCUACUCCGAAGGAAAAUGAGACAUACUUGCCGUUAGUUGGCAUCGCGUGGCGGCUUGUUGUAAGAAAUAAAAUAACUGUCGGGUCC